This 270-nucleotide ribosomal RNA is filed under the name Triticum aestivum (bread wheat). Its description in RNAcentral is "partial small subunit ribosomal RNA". The record is from RNAcentral. Lineage: Eukaryota; Viridiplantae; Streptophyta; Magnoliopsida; Poales; Poaceae.
AGCCUCGGGUUUAAGGACUUCGAGUUAUUCAAUCUUGCGAUGCUGGCCAGGCAAGCGUGGCGUCUGCUACAAGGUCCGGAUACACUUUGUGCGCGCCUCCUUAAAAGCAUCUAUUACCCAAACAGGGAGUUUCUCGAAGCCGAACUGGGAAGCCAUCCAAGCCAGGUGUGGCGAGCCAUUAUGGAUGGAAAAGACACUCUCAAUAUGGGGCUAAUCAGACGCAUCGGCAAUGGUGAUGACACUAAUAUAUGGACUCAUAACUGGCUACCC